Quercus lobata is the source of this 688-nucleotide long non-coding RNA. RefSeq lists it as uncharacterized. The transcript has 3 exons. The record is from RefSeq and is a predicted model, not a curated record. NCBI's taxonomy places the organism in Eukaryota, Viridiplantae, Streptophyta, Magnoliopsida, Fagales, Fagaceae.
UAUCUGUUCUUCAUGUUCUUCCCAAAUCCAAAUCCAACAACCAAAUCCAGUCUCCAUAAAAUCCAAGUUUCAUCAUUUGCACUGUAUGUGUGUGCAGUUUUUGUGUUUAAUGUGUGGUGUGCGUGAUUGUUGCAGUCGGUUGACUGAGGGUGAGGUUGGUUGGGUAUGGCAGAGCUGGUUAUGUGCUGCGGGGGAUAUUUUUGGUGAGUGGGAAGAAAAAGAGGGGAAAAAAUGAAGUCUAAGUUCAUAUGGCAUGAAAAGGAAAUCUGGAGGUCUUGGCUUCAAUGAUGUAGACUGGGUUUUGGAGCUUUUGGUUAUAGGUUUGCUGGGAUGCUGCUAGUCAAGAAUCCUUCAGAUCUAUUACGAGGUCCUAUUACAGAGGGGCUGCUGGUGCAUUGCUUGUCUAUGAUAUAACCGGUUUGCUUGGACCUGCUACAACUUCUAUCAGUCAACACCAACAAAAUUGGCCGGGGAGAAUUAUUUCUUUCAUUCUGGGCAGGUUAAACACAACUUAACCAAUCUAAAGUUGUGUUUGAGAUUGUUUUUGUUGUUGUUGUUUACCAUUUAGUUCUUAUGGUAUUUGAAUGCAGUGGCGAGACUCUUAACAAAUGUGUGUUGGUGUGUUAUAUGUUAAUAGAAUGGUGUGUUAUAUACCCUGUUGUCCUGAAUUGAAAAAAUCUUUAUAUUA